Molecule: ribosomal RNA, 497 nt
Filed under: uncultured bacterium
Lineage: Bacteria
Description: partial 16S ribosomal RNA
Rfam family: Bacterial small subunit ribosomal RNA
Source: RNAcentral
GAUGAACGCUGGCGGCGUGCCUAAUACAUGCAAGUCGAGCGAACAGACGAUGAGCUUGCUCCUUUGCCGUUAGCGGCGGACGGGUGAGUAACACGUGGGUCACCUACCUCUAAGACUUGGAUAACUUCGGGAAACCGGAGCUACUACCGGCUCAUAUUUCGAACCGCAUGGUUCGAUAGUUAUACAUGCCUUUGCUAUCACUUAUAGAUGGACCUGCGCCGUAUUAGCUAGUUGGUAAGGUAACGGCUUACCAAGGCAACGAUACGUAGCCGACCUGAGAGGGUGAUCAGCCACACUGGAACUGAGACACGGUCCAGACUCCUACGGGAGGCAGCAGUAGGGAAUAUUCGGCAAUGGGCGAAAGCCUGACGGAGCAACGCCGCGUGAGUGAAGAAGGUCUUCGGAUCGUAAAACUCUGUUAUUAGGAAAGAACAAAAGUGGAAGAAAAUGUGCACGUCUUGACGGUACCUAAAGAGAAAGCAACGGCUAACUACGUG